CACGUAGGGGGCAAGCGUUGUCCGGAUUUAUUGGGCGUAAAGAGCUCGUAGGCGGUUCGGUAAGUCGGGUGUGAAAACUCUGGGCUCAACUCAGAGACGCCACCCGAUACUGCUGUGACUUGAGUCUGGUAGGGGAGUGUGGAAUUCCCGGUGUAGCGGUGAAAUGCGCAGAUAUCGGGAGGAACACCAGUGGCGAAGGCGGCACUCUGGGCCAGUACUGACGCUGAGGAGCGAAAGCGUGGGGAGCGAA
This 250-nucleotide ribosomal RNA is filed under the name uncultured bacterium. Its description in RNAcentral is "partial 16S ribosomal RNA". It matches the Rfam family "Bacterial small subunit ribosomal RNA", at positions 524 to 772 of the family's 1533-position model. The record is from RNAcentral.